RNAcentral lists this long non-coding RNA (661 nucleotides) under Malus domestica (apple). RNAcentral describes it as "long non-coding RNA (MDOM_LNC013475)". Lineage: Eukaryota; Viridiplantae; Streptophyta; Magnoliopsida; Rosales; Rosaceae. The record is from RNAcentral.
ACUUAUUUUUCUGCUAUGUGGGGCUGCUAGAAACUAAAUGAAAAUAAAAGGAGAGCAUCGGGAGGAGAAUAUAGAGGAAAGCAAGCUGCCUUUGCAGCUGGAGGAAAGCAGGUCAGCGACAAAGGGAUCCAAGGAAGUCAGAAGAAUUAGGGGACAGCAACUGGCAAAGCAGAGAAAAUGGAGGAGUCCACACGGGGGACGGAAAAAGAAUCCAAAGAAGGGGAAAAAGACUGACAGCUCGCAGAAGAAGGGGGGCCUCGGUGAGAAAGGAUAAGAAGACGCAGGAGAAGAGAGAAAAACGAGGGCGGUCUUGGGGGGGAAUUAAGGAAAAGGGGGAGCUGCCCUUUGGGCAGCUCGAGAAGGGAGUCAGCGUGAGGGCAGAAGAACAGAGGCAGGGGAGAGACUGACGCGAGAGGACAGGGAAGACUAAGUGUGCGAAAAAAAAAAUAAGAAAUAAGAAGAUAGAAGCAGAGAGACUGACGAGAGAGGCAGUGUGCAGAAAACAGAGAGGACAGACCGAGGGCAGAAGCAGCAAGCACUCUCCUCUCUCUCGGUUAAAUCUUUCUAAAUCUAUAUUUUAUUUCUGUUUUAAUAAUGUGUAAUUAAAUUUUAUUUUGGCUAGAGGUUAAUUCAAAAACAUGAAUAUAUUUGUAAUAUGAAU